UCGACUCCGUGAAGUCGGAAUCGCUAGUAAUCGCAAAUCAGAAUGUUGCGGUGAAUACGUUCCCGGGCCUUGUACACACCGCCCGUCACACCAUGGGAGUGGGUUGCACCAGAAGUAGAUAGCUUAACCUUCGGGAGGGCGUUUACCACGGUGUGAUUCAUGACUGGGGUGAAGUCGUAACAAGGUAACCCUAGGGGAACCUGGGGUUGGAUCACCUCCUUACCUUAAAGA
This 231-nucleotide ribosomal RNA is filed under the name Aeromonas sobria. RNAcentral's name for it is "partial 16S ribosomal RNA". It matches the Rfam family "Bacterial small subunit ribosomal RNA", at positions 1312 to 1533 of the family's 1533-position model. The record is from RNAcentral. Lineage: Bacteria; Pseudomonadati; Pseudomonadota; Gammaproteobacteria; Aeromonadales; Aeromonadaceae.